AGGGCGAAAUUAGUUGCAUGACAUAGACCCGAAACCGGGUGACCUAUCCAUGUCCAGGCUGAAGUGGAAGUAAAAUUCCAUGGAGGGCCGAACCGACCCCCGUUGAAAAGGUGGCGGAUGAGGUGUGGAUAGCGGAGAAAUUCCAAUCGAACCCGGAUAUAGCUGGUUCUCCUCGAAAUAGCUUUAGGGCUAGCCUCAUAAAAGAUUACCGGAGGUAAAGCACUGAAUGGUCUAGGGGCCGAGAGGUUACCGAAACCUAUCAAACUCUGAAUGCCGGAUAAUUGAUUUAUGGGAGUCAGACCGUGUGAGAUAAGUUUCACGGUCAAAAGGGAAAGAGCCCAGAUCCACAGCUAAGGUCCCAAAGUGCAUUUAAGUGGGAAAGGAUGUGGAACCGCUAAAACAACCAGGAUGUUGGCUUAGAAGCAGCCACACAUUCAAAGAGUGCGUAAUAGCUCACUGGUCGAGUGGUUCUGCGCCGAAAAUUUAACGGGGCUAAAAUGUACACCGAAGCUUGGGAUGCAGUUUAACUGCGUGGUAGAGGAGCGUCGUAUACGGGGUGAAGCAUGAGCGGAAGCGCGUGUGGACUGUAUAGGAGUGAGAAUGCCGGAAUGAGUAGCGAGAAUUAUGUGAGAAUCAUAAUGGCCGAAAGCCUAAGGUUUUAGGAGGAAGGUUCGUCCGCUCCUAGUAAGCCGGGAGCUAAGGUGAGGCCUAGCGGCGUAGCCGAUGCACAUACGGUGGAUAUUCCGUAGCCUCUCAAAGAUUUAAGCAAAGGGACACUCUGAAAGCGUCUGAGCCGGGCGAUGGUAGACCCGGUCGUAAGGGACUGAAACUAGUAGGGAAGCAGAUGUAGACGGAGGCGAGAAAAGCUUUGUGGAUAUCGAGAGAGCCCGUACCGCAAACCGACACAGGUAGGUAGGAAGAGAAUUCUAAGGCCAACGGGAGAAGGGUUGUUAAGGAACUCGGCAAGUUGACCCCGUAACUUCGGGAGAAGGGGUGCUCAUGCGAAUGAGCCGCAGAGAAUAGGCCCAGGCGACUGUUUAGCAAAAACACAGGUCUCUGCUAAAUCGAAAGAUGACGUAUAGGGGCUGACACCUGCCCGGUGCCGGAAGGUUAAGAGGAGAUGUGAGAGCAUUGAAUUGAAGCCCCGGUAAACGGCGGCCGUAACUAUAACGGUCCUAAGGUAGCGAAAUUCCUUGUCAGGUAAGUUCUGACCCGCACGAAUGGUGUAACGAUCUGGGCACUGUCUCAACAACCCGCCCGGCGAAAUUGUAGUACCGGUGAAGAUGCCGGUUACCCGCGACUAGACGGAAAGACCCCAUGGAGCUUUACUGUAGCUUAAUAUUGGAUUUCGGUAAAUGAUGUACAGGAUAGGUGGGAGACUAGGAAACCAGGGCGUCAGCUUUGGUGGAGUCGAUGUUGGGAUACCACUCUUUGUUUGCUGAAAUUCUAACCUGCGGCCGUGAAUCCGGUCGGGGGACAAUGUUAGGUGGGCAGUUUGACUGGGGCGGUCGCCUCCAAAAGAGUAACGGAGGCGCUCAAAGGUUCGCUCAGCAUGGACGGAAACCAUGCUCUUGAGUGUAAACGCAAAAGCGAGCCUGACUGCGAGGAUGACGGUCCGAGCAGAAACGAAAGUUGGAGUUAGUGAUCCGGCGGUAUGUGAGUGGAAAUGCCGUCGCUCAACGGAUAAAAGCUACCCUGGGGAUAACAGGCUGAUCUCCCCCAAGAGUCCACAUCGACGGGGAGGUUUGGCACCUCGAUGUCGGCUCAUCGCAUCCUGGGGCUGAAUUCGGUCCCAAGGGUUUGGCUGUUCGCCAAUUAAAGCGGUACGCGAGCUGGGUUCAGAACGUCGUGAGACAGUUCGGUCCCUAUCUGUCGUGGGCGCAGGAUAUUUGAGAGGCGCUGUCCCUAGUACGAGAGGACCGGGAUGGACGCACCUCUGGUGCACCAGUUGUCAGGCCUACUGGCACAGCUGGGCAGCUAAGUGCGGAACGGAUAAACGCUGAAGGCAUCUAAGCGUGAAGCCGCCCUCAAGAUAAGAUAUCCCACUGAGUUAAUCAGGUAAGACCCCUUGAAGACUACGAGGUUGAUAGGCUCAAGGUGUAAGCACAGUGAUGUGUUAAGCCAGCGAGUACUAAUCGGUCGAGGGCUUGACCUC
RNAcentral lists this ribosomal RNA (2155 nucleotides) under Merdimmobilis hominis. Its description in RNAcentral is "Bacterial large subunit ribosomal RNA". It matches the Rfam family "Bacterial large subunit ribosomal RNA", at positions 689 to 2925 of the family's 2925-position model. Lineage: Bacteria; Bacillati; Bacillota; Clostridia; Eubacteriales; Oscillospiraceae. The record is from Rfam by way of RNAcentral.